UACAAAGAUCUGGGCGAGAGGUGAAAUAUCAAGAUUUAGAGAGAAGACGUCGCUGGAACUGGCAGCAGAGGCGAGAAACCCACAUAGAUCACAUGAACAAGUAUGGAGGAGGACCAAAUUGACAUGACUGAGAAGAUACUAAACCUCACCCUGGAGAUCAUCUACCUGCUGACCGGAGAGAGAUUUCCUCUUGUGAAGUCAGG
Molecule: long non-coding RNA, 203 nt
Organism: Rana temporaria (common frog)
Lineage: Eukaryota; Metazoa; Chordata; Amphibia; Anura; Ranidae
Exons: 3
Source: RefSeq, a predicted model, not a curated record